GAAGGAUACCAAACGGAGGUUAAAGGAAGGAUACCAAAGGGAGGUUAAAAGAAGGAUAUCAAAGGGAGGUUAAAGGGGGAUACAAAAGGGAGGUUAAAGGAAGGAUACCAAAGGGAGGUUAAAGGAAGGAUACCAAAGGGAGGUUAAAGAAAGGAUACCAAAGGGAGGUUAAAGGGGGGAUACAAAAGGGAGGUUAAAGGAAGAUACCAAAGGGAGGUUAAAGGGGGGAUACAAAAGGGAGGUUAAAGGAAGAUACCAAAGGGAGGUUAAAGGGGGGAUACAAAAGGGAGGUUAAAGGAAGGAUACCAAAGGGAGGUUAAAGGGGGGAUACAAAAGGGAGGUUAAAGGAAGGAUACCAAAGGGAGGUUAAAGGAAGGAUACCAAAGGGAGGUUAAAGGAAGGAUACCAAAGGGAGGUUAAAGGAAGAUACCAAAGGGAGGUUAAAGGAAGAUACCAAAGGGAGGUUAAAGGAAGAUACCAAAGGGAGGUUAAAGGGGGAUACAAAAGGGAGGUUAAAGGAAGAUACCAAAGGGAGGUUAAAGGGGGGAUACAAAAGGGAGGUUAAAGGAAGGAUACCAAAGGGAGGUUAAAGGAAGGAUACCAAAGGGAGGUUUAAAGGGGGAUACAAAAGGGAGGUUAAAGGAAGAUACCAAAGGGAGGUUAAAGGGGGGAUACAAAAGGGAGGUUAAAGGAAGAUACCAAAGGGAGGUUAAAGGAAGGAUACCAAAGGGAGGUUAAAGGAAGGAUACCAAAGGGAGGUUAAAGGGGGGAUACAAAAGGGAGGUUAAAGGAAGGAUACAAAAGGGAGGUUAAAGGAAGAUACCAAAGAGAGGUUAAAGGGGGGAUACAAAAGGGAGGUUAAAGGAAGGAUACAAAAGGGAGGUUAAAGGAAGAUACCAAAGGGAGGUUAAAAUUCUUAAGUCGAAGAAAGACCGACAAAAGCAUGACAAAAAAGAAAAUACAACGAAAAGACGAAAAGAUAAACAAAGUCCACAAAACAUCAAAUACAAAACACAAAAUCUAACAAUAGACAAUCGCUUGCAAAGUUCAUGACUUUGGACAGCAACACGGUCAUGUGUAAGGUUAAACUAGUUUAUAGAGAUCUCAACCCUCCUUUCAAUCCAUAUCAGUUAUCUAUAUAUAAGUACCUUACAGGAAAUUAAAAACAUUUAAGUUUUUAUGAGACUUUUGUCUCAACGAAAUAUUAAUUUUUUUUCGACCCUAGUUGUACCAAUUGAACAACCGUGACUACUGAGAGUAGCACUACCAACAAUAACUCAAUAAAAUUCCAUUUUAAAGCUCACCCAGUUUCAAAAUAAGUUUCCACUUUACCAUGGUCUUCGAAUGGAAAUUUGCUUUAAGUGCAAAAAUAACAGCACAAUAAAAUGCGUCUUAUAUAAGAACACCUUUACAAUAUUACACGGUCAUUUUGCCCAAUGUAUAUGCUUUAAGGUGGUACCUAACACUACAGGGAGAUAACUCUGUAAAAAUCAGCUAAACGUUUUAAUUACGUUGUAAUGUUAAGGAAAUAUUAAGCUUCUCAAUGAUCAAAAUUAGUGUUUGUCAAACUGCUAUAUAACCAACGAAAUUUUUCUGAUAAAGUGGUUGGUUCAAAUUUUUUGAAUUUUUUAUAUUUUUGUCAAAGGGUCAAAGUAAACAUUUUGUCAAAAUUUUAUGAAAAUUAAACGAGCCAAAUUAAUAUUAGUCAAGGUGUUGGGUACCACCUUAAAUGACGUUAACAUUAUUAAUUGUAUAACAAUUUUAUUUUUCAAAACAAAUAUUAAGAUAUCAACAGAACUUUUAA
This is a long non-coding RNA of Mytilus californianus (California mussel), 1804 nucleotides long. RefSeq lists it as uncharacterized. NCBI's taxonomy places the organism in Eukaryota, Metazoa, Mollusca, Bivalvia, Mytilida, Mytilidae. The transcript is spliced from 9 exons. The record is from RefSeq and is a predicted model, not a curated record.